UGCCAAUGGCACUGCCCGGUAGCUAAAUGCGGAAGAGAUAAGUGCUGAAAGCAUCUAAGCACGAAACUUGCCCCGAGAUGAGUUCUCCCUGAGACUUUAGGUCUCCUGAAGGAACGUUGAAGACGACGACGUUGAUAGGCCGGGUGUGUAAGCGCAGCGAUGCGUUGAGCUAACCGGUACUAAUGAACCGUGAGGCUUAACCUU
Molecule: ribosomal RNA, 204 nt
Filed under: Salmonella enterica subsp. enterica serovar Senftenberg
Lineage: Bacteria; Pseudomonadati; Pseudomonadota; Gammaproteobacteria; Enterobacterales; Enterobacteriaceae
Also listed under: 2 other names
Description: partial 23S ribosomal RNA
Rfam family: Bacterial large subunit ribosomal RNA
Source: RNAcentral